RNAcentral lists this ribosomal RNA (563 nucleotides) under uncultured Actinoallomurus sp. RNAcentral's name for it is "bacterial LSU rRNA". It matches the Rfam family "Bacterial large subunit ribosomal RNA", at positions 354 to 894 of the family's 2925-position model. The record is from RNAcentral. Lineage: Bacteria; Bacillati; Actinomycetota; Actinomycetes; Streptosporangiales; Thermomonosporaceae.
CGGGUAGGGUGAGAGCCCUGUAGGCGGAACCUGGUUGUGUGCGUGUAGGGCGUUCUCCCGUUGUAGCACGGGGCUCGUGGAAUCCUGUGUGAGUCUGCCAAGACCACUUGGUUGCCUGAAUACUUCCUGAUGACCGAUAGCGGAUGAGUACCGUGAGGGAAUGGUGAAAAGUACCCCGGGAGGGGAGUGAAAAGAGUACCUGAAACCGGGCGCCGUGCAAGCCGUCAGAGCCUCCCGCCUUGCCUUGUGUGGGUGGGGGUGGUGGCGUGCCUAUUGAAGAAUGAGCCUGCGAGUCAUUGCCGUGUCGCGAGGUUAACCCGGGUAGGGGUAGUCGUAGCGAAAGCGAGUCUGAACAGGGCGGUUGUGAGUGGCGCGGUAUGGACCCGAAGCGGGGUGAUCUACCCAUGGCCAGGUUGAGGCGUGUGUAAGAGCGCGUGGAGGACCGUACCCACCUGGGUUGAAAACCGGGGGGAUGAGCUGUGGGUAGGGGUGAAAGGCCAAUCAGACUCCGUGAUAGCUGGUUCUCCCCGAAAUGCAUUUUGGUGCAGCGGUCGACGCGGCCG